Pogona vitticeps (central bearded dragon) is the source of this 1512-nucleotide non-coding RNA. Lineage: Eukaryota; Metazoa; Chordata; Lepidosauria; Squamata; Agamidae. The record is from RefSeq and is a predicted model, not a curated record.
UCAUACAAGGGGUUAUUUUCAGGUUAGGUCUUAUUUUUGGAGAAAUUGUAUAUUGUCAUGUAGUCCUCCCUCAUUGUCAGGCACUGCCACCUGGAUAUUUGUGCAAAUGCCCAAAUAUGGCCUUUGGGAAGACAAUUCUUCCAUCUUCCAGUGACCCCUCCUGCUUCCAGUGAGUUUGCCAGUCAGCCACCUUUGCAAAUUUCCAAAAACCGCAAAGGAGGAUGGAUUGCUUACCUGUAACUGGGUCUUCAAGGGGUCAUCUGUGGAAUCACACAACCACCUACCAGCCCAUCAGCAUAUCUGGGUUGCCAUAGAAGCAGAUUCCGAACAGAGAGAAGCUGCCAGGAGAGCAAGCAGCACAUGCAUACUGGAGGGGAGAAGGAACAAAAAUCACUCACUCUAAUACUGUAGCAGCUCUGCACAGAUGCAAGACCACCAUGCCCAUGAUUUCACAUAUGAUGACUUGAUGACCCUCAAUUACAGUUUAGCAGCCAGGCAGCUCCCAGUGCUUCUGGAAGGCUUUUAAAUAAUUCUGCCCACUUGGAUGAUCACUCCAUCUUGAAGUCUCUGCACUGGCCGACUUUUUCCCAUACAGAGAACAAACCUUCCAUCCUACAUCCAAAAUGAAGAUUUACAAGCUGAAUAUAUCACUGGUGUUAGAUGUCUUCACAGCCAUACAGAUUCGGGAUGCUAUCAUAUUCUGACAACGAUGUUGUGCUGCAUUCAGACCAGUCUCCUAAAUUCUUCAGUAAAUGCGUUUUUCUGAUCCCUAGAUGUCUUUUUCCAUUUGUUUUCCAUUGAAUAACCAGCUAGAACAAUCUGUAUGCUUCACUUCUUAUCACAUGACUGAAACAUUCUAGCUUUUGGCAAUUUAUGUGUUUUCUGAUUUAUCGGACUCUAUUUAUAAUUUGCUGCAGUACUUUUUAAUUGGUCAGCCUCUCAAGCCAACAAAUUCUUAGCCUUCAAUUAUAAAUCCACAUUUUAAAUCAUUCUCUUUAUAGUAGCUUAUGUAAAAAGUUCACAAUUACAUAGCAUACAGCAGAACUGUGAAUCCACAGCACAUGUACAAUGCACAUUCUCCAAGCUAUUCUGCAUAUUACAUUCUUCAUCUUGAGGAAGCUGCUCUGAGCAUCUUUAUUGUGACUUUUAUUGUAUGUCUAUAAUCUACUUACUCAUUUAACAAAUUAUUAGGUUCUUAUAUUUGCCAACACACCUCAUACUUUCAUUUUGGAUCUUCCACCUGCACCUCUUGAGCUGUAUGUUUUUAAUUGAUUACAGUACUAUGAACUAAGUUUCCAUAACAUUCGGUUUUAGACCAUUUUAAUUAUUUAACAGACUUCUCUGAGUAAACUCUGUAGACUAUUUAAACUGUUCACUCUAUGUAUUGUUUGUAUUUCAGAUGUUAUUGAUGACUUCUUCAUGGACGGUGAUACUAUUGUUUGAUUUAGACCAGGGGUGGUCAAUUAAUUUCUAUAGGGGGGCCACAUGAAAAAUCUGAACUUUGUUUAGGGG